RNAcentral lists this long non-coding RNA (5162 nucleotides) under Paramuricea clavata. The record is from RNAcentral. Lineage: Eukaryota; Metazoa; Cnidaria; Anthozoa; Malacalcyonacea; Plexauridae.
AAUAAACAUACUUACCCAGCUAAUGACGUCACACGUUGUGCUGAAUCAGCAAUUUAUAUUUUCACAUUUUUGCGUAUAACUUCGGAACUAGAUGAGAUAGAAUAGAGCAUUAAACGGCCAAUCGGCUUAUUUUUUCAUGCUCUUUCAGAUGAAGCAAUAAGAUAGAUGAAGCAAUUUUUGUUGCCAAUCUCCUUUAAGGAAUGCAGUAAUACUAAAAAAUGCAUUAACAUGUAAGUAAACACAGCAACGCGUGUCAAUCAGUCGCAAGUUACAUCGAAUUUCAGUCCGAAUUUUACUUGAACGAAUUUCGAAGUGAAUUUCUGCAAAUUAUCCGACAAAACCUGCCGCGUGUUUGUGUUCGCAAGUGGCACAAGAAGCCGCCAAGUGUUCUGCCACGCCGGAGCUAUUUGAAAACAGAGUAGAAAAGUCACAAUAAGCCAUCGCUAAUUCACUCUACGCUGGAGUGAAAUCGUUUGAAAACUUUCACGUCACUUAACUAUCACACGGAGCGUAUAAUUAGUUAACUAUCACACGGAGCGCUUGAUAGAUAGCUUCGUGUGAACACAAACGUGUAAACUCGAAUGCUUUUCAGUUAAAUUUCUUGGGUCUAUUUGAAAUAUUUUGGGUUUACACGAGUGCUAAUUCAAUUUGUAAACAAACUGUAAUGGCUUAGUCUGAACACACGUAAAUUUUGCCCGGAUUAGUUCGCUUGCGCGUAGUGUGAACGUAGUCUAAUUUUUGGUGACGCUUUCAAACGGCAAGGUAGCCUUUAGAAAAAUUUAGAAAUAGUGGAUGUCCGGAAGUUCGAAAAUUUCCCGCCAUUUUCAUUGUUGUUGUUUUGAAAAUACAAAUAGUCUUUCGUUAUAUAAAACGAAAUUAACUUUCGAAAUAAAAACGAAAACAUUUAAAAGACAUCUUGAGAUAAGUAAAUUUAUUCCAGUUUUAUGUUUGCACAAUAAUUAAAAAAAAUAUCGGUUUUAUGCGUACUGCAGGUCUUUCGCGCGCUUUAAUAUUUACAUGUCGUCUUUGCAUGCUACUUUGGUCACCGUGCACAAUCUCAAUAUCAUAAUUUAAAACUUUUUAAUUAAUGUCUUUUACCGAAUAUACAUUAUGCAUGAGUAUCUCUUCCAAUGUAAUAUUUUUGCAAAAUAGUGUGAAAUAAAUUGAACUUGAACUUGCGUGUAUUUUUGCCACUCUGAGUAACUCCAUAUUAUUGUACAUCCGAUCAUUUGUUUCCACCACCCGCUGAAGGGCGGGCAAACCCACGGGUAUUUGACAUUUUGUAAAUUUGUUGUCAAAUUCCCCACCCAUGGAACAGGACUGAGUCAAAAUACUCGCGGGAAGGGUAGGAGUUGUUAACAAUUACAUGGUAUUUACAUGGUCCGGCCAUAUAAUUCGAAACAUUUAUAGGGAAGCCUCACAUAUCGAUUUUGUCCAUGAGAAACGUCAUAUGGACGUUUCUCUGGAGACCCGCCCCUCACCCCACGUUUAGAAACGUCACACAUAGUUAUCGAUAUUUUGUUGUUAUAGUACACAUAAGGUAAUUUCCUACUAUUUUCUACGGUCGGCUAUUGGCGAUGCUUCUGCGAGGAAUAUAUAAUUAUCACCUUCUGCUGACAUAUCUUUUUUUUUAUUAAUAUAUAUAUAUAUUCCAACGUUUCUCAAAACAACAUUUUUUCUUCAAAUUUGAGUGUUUUCAAUGCAAGGAAGGCGUAAUAAUGUAAAUGUAUAUAAAUAGAACAGGUAUGGUAUUACUAAUGUAUAGACUGGAGUUUGUAUCAAGUUGUUUUCUUUUUUAUAUUCUGAAAAGAUGAUUCCGAAAUGUUAAAGCUUUCGAAAAAACUAUCGAAUUUUUCCGUGAUGUUUACAGAGAAACGUCACAGCUGCAAACCCCCCUCCCCAAACGAACAUCUGACGUUUCUUGUGGAAAAAAUCGAUAUGUGAGGCUUCCCCUUAGUCGUACGCGAUAAAAAAUAUUGUGUCACACACAAUGUCAAUGAAAACAUGUUCUAAUUAAAGGGUAAGAAAACCUAACUUUUGAAUAUCUCUCCCACAUCUGAAAGGUUUGUUUCCUUAAAAAUAUCUCUAUUUCAGCACUUGAACUGUUAUCCAUAUUGGAAACGACUUAUUUUGAAAAAUGUCCAGCAUGAAGUCGUGAAACGUCGAGAUAACGUUGCCCGCCCCAUGUCUCCCGCCGAGAUGUCCAAAACACAACUUUGCCAAUUGCCCGUCUCUCAGGCCACAAUUUGUUGUUAAAUACCCGUCUCCAGGGUGAGAAUUUGUUGUCAAAUCCUCCAGGGGGGGGGGGGCAAAUUAUAGGUGCAUUAACAGAACAUUAACGGUUGCGAGUAGAUAUGGAUUUAUGUUCUCUUGUCAAAAACAAUAUCUCACUCCUUCGCGAUAUUGAUUUUGCCACUCGAACAUAAAAUCCAUAUCUCAUCGCAAUAGUUUACGGUUGAGGUAUUAAUUGAGCGGAAAGUCCUGUUCCUCAUCCCAGUCACGUACGUUUUCUUGUAACAUCACAAAUUGUAACCGGAGCAGGAGGCAAGCUGCAAACCUUUGGCUUUGUUAUCUCUUAUCAUUCUGGUUCAAUUUGCUGUUAUGCCUGUCACGGGUUACUUAUGGUUAGCACUAUUUUCCAUCCAGCCAACCGCCCUAUCGAUUUUCUAAAGUCGUUUCUUUUUGGAUUUUUUUUUAUAAAUUCGGUUAGGGUUAUGGGUUAGAGUAGGGGUAGGGUUUGGGUUAGUAACAUAGCCAUUGAACAAAAUGACGUCAGGUCAGUUUGCUGGAAGGAAAAUAGUGCUAACCAGUGCUAUACACGACGCCAUAUCUAAACUAGACCGGCUAUAUAUGCAUUGUUUUUGACACAAAAACAUAAAUCCAUAUCUACUCGCAACCGCGUAAUGUUCUGUUUAUUAUAUGGACUUAAAAUACUUAUUAAAAAUUCAUAAACCUUGUGGCAAAUCAUGUCAGCCAUAAUAGGUCACAAGGAGUGACUUUAUAUCUGAUAAAACUCAUCUUCAUCAGUAUUCUUUAUAUAAUUGUUCAUCCUAAUUAGUAUGAUUAGGAAUGGACCAUUAGAAAAGUGAUGGGGGGGGAGAGCAAAAACCAAAAAAAAUUAUUCCCAGGAAAAAAUUAGGGGGGAAAAUCUUUCCAGGCAUAGUGCAAAAAAAAUUCCUUGCUUGGAAGAUGGGCCUAUAAAUUUCACUAAAAAAAUACAUUUCUUCUAUAGGUGUACAAAAAAAAUAUUGCCUCUUAAAAAUCCCCCAUUAGAAAAGUGAUGAGUGAUGACUCAUCAUUAGAAAAGUGAUGAGUGAUGACUCAUCACUUUUCUAAUGGUCCGUCCCUUAUAUAAUUGUUCAUCCUAAUUAGCAUUCUUUUGUAGUCGUAUUUUAAGCUAUUCAAAACACUCAAAUUCGCGUUUUAUCAUAUCUAAAACGCUCGGCUGCGCCUCGCCUUUUAAAUAUGAUAAAACACUCCUUCUCGUGUUUUAAAUACUACUUAUUCAGAGUGACAAAGACGGCAUGUGACCACAUGCAAAUAAGCGGGCGAAAGACGUCCAGUAUAAAAGCCAUAUUUUUAAAAAAGUAUAGUACAAACAUAAAACUAGCACUAGAAAAUACAUGCAUGCAGAAACCCUCGCCUUGCUGACAAAACCAUUGUAUUUUCCGAACAUGAAGUAUUUAAAGUAGUUGUCAUGGCAACACGAUAAUUUUUUAAGAAUAUUCUUACAAAUGAAAAAUCGCCUAAAACUGUCACUUUUAAUUACAAAAUUAUCAAUUUCCCAACAUAUAUAUGUUAGGUAUGUUAUUAUACGUAAUAUAAGCUUCAAUUUAAGGUAAAAUUCAACCGCAAACGCUUCGCAAAACGUUUUAAAGUGUUCUUUAUAAAACUAAACUGCCUUUAAUUAAAUCGAUAAAUGGCUUUAUCCAUAAACUUUGAGUUUGCAAUGAAAUGAUUUCAAAUUCUCGCAUGCAAAUAAAUUUACUUUUUUCUUUUUUUAUUUAAAAAAUUCAAUAUAAUAAUAAAGGAAAUCAAAAGAUUAAUAAAGAUAAAAUAAAGAUAUAUUAAAGAUACACUGAAAUAGUUAUAUGCUGUCUUGUUUAGUUGUUUCAUAUACGCAAAGGCCGUCGGGUUUUAAAGCAAUUAUAAAAUCAAUAUUUAAAACAAACUUACCUUCGUUAACGUAGGCUUCCUUCUUUUAGCCGAUUCUUUCGCCCUUUCUUUCUUUCUGAAAAUGCGUUUGAAAUUUACGAAAUCUUGCAGAAAUGCGAGCAAAAAUGAAAUAUAUUUGCAAGAAAUUUAUCAAUCAUCAAAUCAAGAAAUGUUCGCUAUUUCGCUGUCGUCAUGCAUGCAGUCGUUAUAAUGCAAAUUUUAAAUUGGACCAAUCAGUGUCCGCUAUUCAUGACAGUCCGCCAUAUUUUUGAGAUCAGUGAGGAUGACCACACACCCAACACUCGAACACCGUUGGUGACCCACGCCCACGAUCAUUGAUGAACUUUAGACUUCGCUAAUGCUUUCGUUUCCCCGGGUGUAAAUAGCCGGGGGGAAUUAGUAUCCUCGCACGGUGCUUCGCGCCGUCGGCUCGGGGAUAAAUUUUACUUAUCUCAAGAUCUCUUUUAAAUGUUUUUGUUUUAUUUCCAAUGUUAAUUUCGUUUUAUAUACCAACCAAAGACCAUUUGUACUUUCAAAACAACAACAAUGAAAAUGGCGGGAAAUUUUCGAACUUCGUAUAGUUCGUAACUUUGUAUAUCACUCGCAAGCGUGAAAUACGGAAAAUACGAGCAUUUGGUCCCAGAUGUAGUGGCAUAUGAGUUCUAUGAGUGUUUUAGUUUCCAGUAAAACACCAUUGUCCAUAUAAUAAAGAAUAGUGAGUUUAUCGGCGUACAAUGUACAAUUCGAGCAGCAUCGUCAUUUAAAGUCCGUUCUGCGCAUUAAUUUUGCUCGUAACAAAGGGGGACCCACAGCUAUAAACAUUGCCCAAAUUUUGCAUCUUUCGAACUUUUUUGAAUUCAGACGUAGAGUUUAUAUAUAUAAUCAUUUGCAAGCAUAGCGAACCCGAGAAGUGUUAAUUAUUCAGUUUAUAUAUCAUGCAUAUUAGUUAUAAAAAUACAGCAGUUCAAAAUCUAAACAAAGGCUCAAAGCAUUUGUUUACAUUACGG